Molecule: non-coding RNA, 29 nt
Filed under: Mus musculus (house mouse)
Lineage: Eukaryota; Metazoa; Chordata; Mammalia; Rodentia; Muridae
Source: RNAcentral
UACUUGACAGACCGCAGCAAACCGCAACC